AGCGAAGCACUUUUGCGGAUUUCUUCGGAUUGAAGCAAUUGUGACUGAGCGGCGGACGGGUGAGUAACGCGUGGGUAACCUGCCUCAUACAGGGGGAUAACAGUUGGAAACGGCUGCUAAUACCGCAUAAGCGCACAGUACCGCAUGGUACCGUGUGAAAAACUCCGGUGGUAUGAGAUGGACCCGCGUCUGAUUAGCUAGUUGGUGGGGUAACGGCCUACCAAGGCGACGAUCAGUAGCCGACCUGAGAGGGUGACCGGCCACAUUGGGACUGAGACACGGCCCAAACUCCUACGGGAGGCAGCAGUGGGGAAUAUUGCACAAUGGGGGAAACCCUGAUGCAGCGACGCCGCGUGAGCGAUGAAGUAUUUCGGUAUGUAAAGCUCUAUCAGCAGGGAAGAAAAUGACGGUACCUGACUAAGAAGCCCCGGCUAACUACGUGCCAGCAGCCGCGGUAAUACGUAGGGGGCAAGCGUUAUCCGGAUUUACUGGGUGUAAAGGGAGCGUAGACGGCAUGGCAAGCCAGAUGUGAAAGCCCGGGGCUCAACCCCGGGACUGCAUUUGGAACUGUCAGGCUAGAGUGUCGGAGAGGAAAGCGGAAUUCCUAGUGUAGCGGUGAAAUGCGUAGAUAUUAGGAGGAACACCAGUGGCGAAGGCGGCUUUCUGGACGAUG
RNAcentral lists this ribosomal RNA (673 nucleotides) under uncultured Lachnospiraceae bacterium. Its description in RNAcentral is "bacterial SSU rRNA". It matches the Rfam family "Bacterial small subunit ribosomal RNA", at positions 65 to 738 of the family's 1533-position model. The record is from RNAcentral. Lineage: Bacteria; Bacillati; Bacillota; Clostridia; Lachnospirales; Lachnospiraceae.